This 1462-nucleotide long non-coding RNA is filed under the name Homo sapiens (human). Its description in RNAcentral is "non-protein coding lnc-SENP6-3:6". The record is from RNAcentral. Lineage: Eukaryota; Metazoa; Chordata; Mammalia; Primates; Hominidae.
AGGUGGAGUCUCGCUCUGUCGCCCAGGCUGGGGUGGAGUGACGCGAUCUCGGCUCACCGCAAGCUCCGCCUCCCGGGUUCACGCCAUUCUCCUGUCUCAGCCUCCCCAGUAGCUGGGACUACAGGCGUCCACCACCACGCCCGGCUAAUUUUUUGUACUUUUAGUAGAGACGGGUUUCACCGUGUCAGCCAGGAUGGUCUCGAUCUCCUGACCUCGUGAUCUGCCCGCCUCAGCCUCCCUAUAUGUUUUAAAAUAUAAAUUUAUUCUUAUAAAAAUAAAUUUAAACUAGAUUGAGGUAGUAAUUACAACAGUCCAGCACAUUAUGGAUAAUUAAUAUUUAUAUUUAUUUGGCUGGUUUUUCUUUUAUAGUAAACUUUAUGCCUUAAUGAACAUUUAUCAGUAUGACUCACUUCAUUCAGUCAUUGAAUAACUAUUUAUUGAGGCUGUAUACUGUGCUAGGUAGGCAUGGAACUACAUGCAUGAUCAAAAUGAGACAGAUUCCUAACAUCACUGAGAUUAUACACAGCAGGGGAAAGAAAAUAUUCAAACUUCAAAUAGUUUCUUCAUCCAAAAAAUUUAUUAUUAGUACCUCCUUGUCAACAUAUGGUAUAUGUUGUGAGUGCAGAAACUUAGGGUUUAUCAAUAACAUGAAGAAAUUUCUACCUAUUAUUUUCACAUCCAUCCCAAAUACCUAGUAUUUAAGUUUUAUUUUUACUUAUGUAGUUAGUAUAUAAGUAAACAUUAAUUAAAUCGUAUUAUGCCAUAGACUUAUAGGUUCAUAGUAAUUACACACAGUGCAUGAUUACCUGCCAAAAAGAAAAUGUUUUCUUAAUUUGGUGUCGUUAACUUUACCUCAUGAUGACCAAUAGGUGGAGCUAUUUCCAUUUUUUCCCUCAGCCUUUUGGCUUGAAUUUGAGGUAGAUAAGAAAGCCAAGUAAGAUGAACUAUAGAAUGUCUUAUAUACCUAAGAAUAUUUAGCUAUGAAGGUUUUCUGAAGCUCUUAAGACAUACAUACUAUAUUGUACUAUACCAGAAGCCCUUAUAAACCAUCUCGUUUUUUUCAUUGAAAAAAUAUUCCAGCUUCAACUUCAAAUGCCUAAAAAUAUAUCAAAAUCUUCAGGCAAACAAUUUUAAGUACUAAUUAAUAUCAUGUAGUUAAAAAUUAGCAUCCAAAAUUAAAAUGAUGUUUCUCACUAAUUUAAAAAAAAAUUCUGCAGUAGAUUCCAAAGAGUAAAAAGACCCAAGUCUCAAAUCUCCCUGGUAAAAUUAAAGUUAUCUCCAAUUUCCUUCCCUUAAGAAAGCAUAGAUAAAGAGUGAAAUCAGAAUUGUUCUUAUUGUGGAUGUAAUUCAGAAAUCUUCUGCCUUUGUUUCCACAGUACAAAAUAAGGGUAUUAGAGAGCAUCUCAAAAAUCCCUUUCAGGGUUAACAUUUUGUAUUACUACAAUACCUUCUUUCUCCUUCA